Sorex araneus (European shrew) is the source of this 137-nucleotide small nucleolar RNA. Its record names the gene SNORA72. It matches the Rfam family "Small nucleolar RNA SNORA72". From Rfam's summary of the family: U72 is a member of the H/ACA class of snoRNAs. Lineage: Eukaryota; Metazoa; Chordata; Mammalia; Eulipotyphla; Soricidae. The record is from Ensembl.
CUGCAAAUGUUCUUGCUUUUCUGAUUCUGUGAUACUCAGAACGGGCUAAACAUUCACUCUAACAAGGCCAUGUGUGUGUGCCCAGGCCUAGUUCUUUUGUCUACCUUGGUCUGGUCUGAGAAAUGUCAGCGGUAGAU